UACGUAGGGGGCAAGCGUUGUCCGGAUUUAUUGGGCGUAAAGAGCGUGUAGGCGGCCAGGUAGGUCCGUUGUGAAAACUGGAGGCUUAACCUCCAGCUGUCGAUGGAAACCAUCUGGCUAGAGUCCGGAAGAGGAGAGUGGAAUUCCUGGUGUAGCGGUGAAAUGCGCAGAUAUCAGAAAGAACACCCGUGGCGAAGGCGGCUCUCUGGGACGGUACUGACGCUGAGACGCGAAAGCGUGGGGAGCGAACAGG
Molecule: ribosomal RNA, 253 nt
Filed under: uncultured bacterium
Lineage: Bacteria
Description: partial 16S ribosomal RNA
Rfam family: Bacterial small subunit ribosomal RNA
Source: RNAcentral